Molecule: long non-coding RNA, 584 nt
Organism: Populus euphratica (Euphrates poplar)
Lineage: Eukaryota; Viridiplantae; Streptophyta; Magnoliopsida; Malpighiales; Salicaceae
Exons: 3
Source: RefSeq, a predicted model, not a curated record
UGAUUGUGAAUUCUACAUUGCUUGAUGAAGGUGGGCAAGACCAAUUCUCAUAGAAAUGGGAAAUUCGAUGACAACAAAGCAUUGGCUCAGCUUGGCUUCCAGAUUGGGGAUUACUUGGAUGUGGCUAUUUUUUAGAGGCUCUAUUAUGUCAAAUUGAGAAAGGGAUGGAUAGACAGUGGAGUAAUAAUUAUCGUAUGCAAAGAGCUUCAACAUUUUUGGUUGGACAAGAUGGUAUGUAGGGUAAUCUGAAGAAUAAAUGACAGAAUUUGUGCUCUGCAUCACAUCUACAUCUUAUUCUGCCAUGUUCGGAGGUACUCCAAGUGUUUAGGCUUUAGAGAUCUGUGAAUCUACCAGGAAUGAGGUUUUAGUUCAUUUUCUUUUUUUCCCUGGUUUUAAUUCCACUGUGUUCUGGAUUUAAUUUUGGCAUAAACGAUUGGAUCUGCUUGAAGGUCAAUAAUUACACCUCAGAAUGGCUACCCUGUCCAGAAUCCUACAGGCUUACCAGCUAGAAAAAUGCUUUAGAGAUUGAAAAUGAUGUGUUGUUAAUGAGCUUGCUCUACUUUACAUGCCGAGAAUUAUUUGUA